GUGCUUGCUUUGCCAGCACAUUUACUAAAAUUGAAACAAUACAGAGAAGAUGAGCAUGUCCCUGGUGCAAAGAUGACAUGCAGAUUUAUGAAGCCUUCCACAUUUUU
Microcebus murinus (gray mouse lemur) is the source of this 107-nucleotide small nuclear RNA. NCBI's taxonomy places the organism in Eukaryota, Metazoa, Chordata, Mammalia, Primates, Cheirogaleidae. The record is from Ensembl.